CAUUGGUGAGCCGUGCUUGGAGGCCUGUGGCAGUGGAGGUUGGUGUGCUUGGUGCGGCAUUCGAAAGGCAUGCUGCCAGGCUGGCAAUGGAGCCAAGGAAUGUGUGGGCGC
Molecule: non-coding RNA, 111 nt
Filed under: uncultured Symbiodinium
Lineage: Eukaryota; Dinophyceae; Suessiales; Symbiodiniaceae
Source: RNAcentral